GGACUACUAGGGUAUCUAAUCCCGUUUGCUCCCCUAGCUUUCGCGCCUCAGCGUCAGGAGUGCACCAGAGAGUCGCUUUCGCCGCCGGCGUUCUUCCCGAUCUCUACGCAUUUCACCGCUCCACCGGGAAUUCCACUCUCCCCUCGCACCCUCAAGCCAAGCAGUAUCGGGCGCAGUUCCUCGGUUGAGCCGAGGUAUUUCACACCCAACUUACUUAGCCGCCUACGCGCGCUUUAUGCCCAGUGAUUCCGAACAACGCUCGCCACCUACGUCUUACCGCGGCGGCUGGCAC
Molecule: ribosomal RNA, 292 nt
Filed under: uncultured bacterium
Lineage: Bacteria
Also listed under: 1 other name
Description: partial 16S ribosomal RNA
Source: RNAcentral